This 220-nucleotide unclassified non-coding RNA is filed under the name plant metagenome. RNAcentral describes it as "partial contains small subunit ribosomal RNA, internal transcribed spacer 1, and 5.8S ribosomal RNA". The record is from RNAcentral.
UUUCCGUAGGUGAACCUGCGGAAGGAUCAUUACAGAGUUCAUGCCCUCACGGGUAGAUCUCCCACCCUUGAAUAUUUAUACCUUAGUUGCUUUGGCAGGCCGUGGAAACACCAUGGGCUCCGGCUUAUGCGUGCCUGCCAGAGGAAACAAACUCUGCUUUUAGUGAUGUCUGAGUACUAUAUAAUAGUUAAAACUUUCAACAACGGAUCUCUUGGUUCCG